UGAUUUUAAAAUGUUUUAUUUAUUAACAAUGAAUAAAAAUCAAGAUCAAAUAUUCAACAUCAACGGAAUAUAAAAAAGAAAUUAAUGAAGAAACAUUGAAAUCUUUUAGGUAAGAUACAUUUCCAAAUAUAUGGCUCUUGUCCUUUGUCUGCAAAUAAUGAACAACCCUUUCUGGUUGGCUAAAUGAAUCUCUCGACUAAUUCAUACAGCCUUAAAGAAUCACAUAGAGACGCCCAUCCAGUGAUUCUUUUCUUUACAUGGAUGAUGCGUCAAAUGCUUUCAAAGAAUAAACAUACCAAAGCUUUUUAAUGUCUCAACCUUAUUGCCAUUGCAAGGAAUUCACAUCUUGUGAAGAAGAUACAACUGAUCAUCAUAUAAAUGCAAGAAACUUUAACCGGGACACAAAUUUGCAGAAUUGAAACUCCAAUGAACAUAGAAAUACAUCAAAGUCAUUCAUCACCGUACUGUAAUAAAUUCAUAACUUUAGCAGGGGGCACAAAGUUGUAGAAUUGAAGCUCCAAUGAACAUAGGAAUGCAUCAAAGUCAUUCAUCACCGUACUGUAAUGAAUUUGUAACCUGCACAGAAGAUGCACCUGAUGAUUAUCAUUAUAUGAAUACAAGAAACUUCAGGGGAGAGAGACAAAUUUGUGGAAUUGAAGCUCCAAUGAACAUAGGAAUGCAUCAAAAUCACCCAUCACCAGAUGAAAUCCUGUCUGAAAAUAGUCCUCCCGGCACCUCAAGUGCACAAGACCACGCUCCAAUGAACAUAGGAAUGCAUCAAAGUCAUUCAUCACCGUACUGUAAUGAAUUUGUAACCUGCACAGAAGAUGCACCUGAUGAUUAUCAUUAUAUGAAUACAAGAAACUUCAGGGGAGAGAGACAAAUUUGUGGAAUUGAAGCUCCAAUGAACAUAGGAAUGCAUCAAAAUCACCCAUCACCAGAUGAAAUUAAAGCUUCCCCUCAUUGAAGAGUAUCAAAUUUGCCCCCCAAUCCCAUCACUAAAUACUCAGAUCUUCUUCUUCUUCUUUUCCACGACCUCACUCCUUCAAUGGUAUUUUUUAUCAUCAUCGAGUAAUGCAUUUUAUAGGCAUGAAUACUCUGAGUAGUUAGUGUUGGUAGUUAGAAUUAAUACAGUUGCAAUAACCGUAUUUUAAAUUUUUUCCCUUCUACUUUUAACAGUUUACUAUUGUGAGUGUUCUUGAUGGUCUUCAUAGGAAAUGAUUUUUUGCUUUUAUAUUGAAGUUAAAAUCGUCCAUCGUCUUUUACUUGUUCUUCCUUUUAAUUUUCCAAAAUUUACUUUACAAUUUUUUACUUCUACUUUGAACUGUUUACUUUUGUAGGAGUUUUUCCUAGUCUUCAUCUUCUACAUUUUACAUUUAAAUUACUUUAUCUUAAUGAUCUACCUACUAUAUUUGUUUUUUUUAUUUUUCGUGUUCUUGUUGUUUUGAGAUUUGUUUACUUGAUUUUACUUUCAAAUUUUUUAAUUUACUAUCAACUAAUUCCUUUUUUAGGUGUUACUGUAUAGGAAAUCAUCAACCAUUCACUGUGUUUAAGGUGUGUGUCGCGGCAUAUUUCAACUCUGAAAAUAGGUACAACACAUUACAUUUAUUUUUAAACAGAGUCUGAAAAAUGGGUUGUUUUCAUUUUUAAAAUAUUUACUACUCUUUGAUUAUCUGUAUUUUAUCCUUAUUAUUCAUACAUGAUUCAUUUCAUGUUCUUGUUCUAACUCAAAUACUUCAUACAUUUCAUUUUCAUUUCUCUACUUCACUACAAUUUAUACUACAUUGAUCUACAAUAAUUCAUGCAGUUGGUUGUCAUUUUAAUUUUUCAAUUUCUUCCAUCACAGUCUUCAGAUGUUCGUUAGUUCAUGCUAUUCUUCAAAUAAGUAUUUCUAUUUUUGAAUUCAAUUUUUGGUUUUUUUCAAUCAUGGUCUUCAUAUAUUUGUUAGUUCAUGCUUUUCGGGGUCUCUUGAUUAACUCCAAGAGCAACCCCAUGGUAGAUCUUGAUAAACUUUAUAUGUUUUCUAAUGAAAUAAUUUUUUAUAAUUUUUUCCAUUUUCAUUCUUGCACUUGUUGUUCAUUGUCUUAAUUUAUCUUAUUUAUACUAAAUUGUUCUAAUUCAUUUCAUGCAGUUCCUCUUCAUUUUUAAUUUUUUUUUUCCAAUCAUGAUAUUCAUAUCUACCGAAUUUCAUUGUCUACUUUCAUGAUGAAAAUUUUCAGCAGAUUUCAAUUAUUUUCAAACUAUGAGUGAUUUAAGCAGAGAAAGAUCAGGAAAUGGGGGAGAUCUCAAAGUGAUCGAUCCCUCCUAAAAUGUUAUUAAUGUAUCUUAUAUACAAUUACAAUUAGGAGAAAUUAGUUCUAAAAACAGAAUAACUAACUUUCUGUUUAGACUAUCAUAAGUUUCUAGAUCUAAUUAGUUAAUUACAGAUUUAUUAACUAAUUACACAAAUACCCUUAUAAUUAUCACUAAUAGCCCCCCUCAAACUCAUCGAUGAGGUUGGCCUUUAGUUCCAUAAAUUGUGUUGGCCUUAAUGCUUUGGUCAACACAUCAACUUUUUGUUUGGUAUUUGGAAUGUGAUUCACUUCUAAAACCUUUUUCUCAACUCUUUCUCUCACAAAAUUGAAGUCAAGCGCAGCUAGCAUGUUUGAUUUUUGUGUGAAAAACCGGAUUCGCAGCCAAUUGUGUUGCUCCUAAGUUGUCGCACCAUAAUUUAUAUGGUUUAUCAAUCUUUAUCCCCAUUUCACUCAGUAAGUUUGCCACCCAAUCAAGUUCAGCAGUUGCUGCAGUGAUAGCUCUGAAUUCUGAUUUUGUGCUUGAUCUGGACAUUGUUGAUUGUUUAUGAGAACACCACAUCACUAGUGACUGACCCAUGUAUAUUAAGUAACCUGUCUGACUUUUUCUGUCUGUUUCAUCAGAUGCCCAGUCAGCAUCACUGUAUGCUGAAAUAUUACAGAUACUGGAUUUCUUUAGCACAAUUCCCAUGUCUUGAGUCCCUGAUAAAUAUCUGAGUACUCUCUUCAUCAUGAUCCAGUGUAUGUCCUUAGGCUUCUCCAUGAACUGAGCCAGUUUAUUUACUGCAUAAGAAAUAUCAUGCCUUCACAUGGUUAAAUACUGCAAGGAUCCUAUGAUUCUUCUGUAUUCAGUGGCUUUCUCUAUCACUUCAGCAUCUGAAUAAAACUGCUAACUACGCUGCAUUGGAGUAGAAAUAAUGGGUUUGAGAUUUAGAAAACCAUGUUUAUUCAACAAGUUGACCAAAUACAACUGUUGAUCAAAGAAUAUUCCAUCAACAUGUUUUCUCACUCUAAUCCCUAAAAAAUAUUCUAAAUCCCCACAUAAUCUAACUGCAAAUUCAGACUUUAAGGCAUCCAACACUUCUUGUAGUUUUGCUGAAUUUAAACCAGUUAUGACCAUGUCAUCUACAUAAACUAAAAUGUAGAUUAUAUCACCAUCAUUCUUCACAAACAAUGAGUCAUCAGACUAACAUGCAUUGAACCCCAUGCUGCUCAGAGAUUGUUUUAGGCGUCUAAACCAUAUUCUAGAAGCCUGUUUCAACCCAUAGAGUGCCUUUUUCAGUAGGCAAACAUGUCCAGGUCUAGCCUCAUCAAGAAAUCCAGUAGGCUGCCUCAUUACAAUUUUUUCUUCAAGCUGACCAUGAAGAAAAACAUUGUUGAUGUCAAUCUGUUGCAUCUCCCAUCCUCUGGAAAUUGCAAUUGUGAGGACUAUUCAGAUCGUCUUAGGCUUCACCACAGGACUAAAAGUCUCCACAUAAUCGCGUCCCUCCACUUGAUUAGUUCCAUUCGCUACUAAUCUUGCUUUUAGCCUCUCCACUGUCCCAUCAGAUUUUUCUUUCACUUUAAACAACCAAAUGUUAUUUAUAACAUUAUCAUUAGCAGAUCUGGGAAUUAAUUCUCAUGUACCAUUUCUCAUUAGUGAAUCAUACUCUUCUUGCAUAGCAACUCUCUAUUCUCAAUCUUGUAAUGCCACUUUCACAAAUUUUGGGACUUGCUUUUUAGUAGGUCUUAUUGACAACACAUACUUUGCAUUUCUUCUUUUCAUUUCUGCUCUUGUGAUUGGACCAUGGCCUGUCUCAACUUCCUUGACAGACUUAUGAGGCUGAUAUUCCUCACACUACAAAAAAAAGGACCUUGUAUGGCGGAUUUCCGCCAUCUAUACUUCAAUUGUUUAGAUGGCGGAUGUCCGCCAUCUAUUCUUUCAGUCCGCCGAGGAAACGUUUUGGCUCGACGGCGGUUCCAUUUUAUUUUCGAUGGCGGUGUUUAGAUGGCGGAAAUCCGCCAUCUAAACUAUCCCGCCCAAAAUUUCGAAUCUCCCCCAAACAAUAACCCGAUUACCCGAUUAAAUUGACUUAAGAUGGCGAAAAUCCGCCAUCUUAAGUAUUCGGGGACUCGGGCGGAAAAAGCCCGCCCAAAUUUCGAUUGGGCGGACUUUCACUUUAGUGCUGGCGGCACUUAAGUGUACUUACAUGGCGGAAAGUUUUGGGGUUUAUUAAAAACCCCAAAUCGACAGAACGCGGCUGUUCUGUCUGAAAUUGAAGAAAUCGCCGCCGCUGCCUCCCUGCUGCCCCCGUCGUCGUCGUUCCUCGCCGUCGGUUGUUCCUCGCCGUCGUUCCUCGCCGUUGCCGCAUCCCGCCGCAUCCUCGCCGGUUAUCUUUGAAGGUAUCAUUUUGAUAAUGGUUGUAAAUGGGUUUUUAUAUUUGGGUUUUGUUAAUUUUUUUAUUUUGUGAUUGUUUAUUGUUUUGAUUUGGGUUUUGAUUUGAUUUGUGUUGUCUAUUUUUUGUGUUUUGUGUAUUGAAUGAUGAUCUCUUAAUAUAUGUAAAUGAUGAUCUCUUAAUCUCUUAAUCUAAUUAGAAAAUACUAUAUUACUGUGAAUGAUCUCUUAGUCUAUAUGCGUUUAUGGUUUGUGUUUCUAUAUAUAUUACUGUGAAUGAUGAUAUGUUAAUUAAGAAUCCAUGUUUGUAAUAGAAUUUUGAGUGUAAUUGAACCCUUAUACUCCUACACACUCGUCGUAUUCCAAUUGUUCCUCUCUAUUCCCCGAUGACCUUCAUUGCUUAAAUACCACUUCAAGUUAACUUCAUUGGGAUUUGAUUUGAAAUAUGCUUUGAUUCUUCCGAAUCUUCGAUCUUCUAUUACAAACAUGGAUUUUUUUUGAUAUGUUAAGAAUUUCAAUGAUAUGUUAAGAAUUUCAUUUUGUUUUAAUUUCAAUGAUUUAAUUUCAAUAAUAGCCGUUUCCGCCGACUGCCUCUCGUUGUUUCUUCGCCGACGCCGGUUCCGAGGUCGCCUCCGUCCUGCCUUGAUUACGUCGCCUCGAUUGUCCGUUUUGGUGAGAUUUGAAAAAUCUUUUUAAUUUAGUUAAAUAAUUAUUAAUUUUUUAAAAUUAAUAAAUAAUGUAGAAAAUUAAUAAAAAUAAUUAUUUUAUUUAAAUAAUUAAUUAUUUAGUUAUAUCAUAAUUUAAAUACCAUGUUUUGAAAUAAAUUAAAAAUAUUUAAUAUUGUUCUUAAUUACUGUUUUGUAAUAAAUUUAUUAAUUAUUUCAUUUUCUGAUUAUAAAUGUUUUAAUUAAUUAUUUAAUUGAUUAUUUGUAAAUAAUUUAUAAAUUGAUUUAAUUAAAUAAAUUAUUUAUAUAAUGUUUUAAUUAACUAAUUAAAUUAUUGUUUUGUUGACUUGUUAUAUAUAGGUUUUGAAAUAUCAAGAAUGUAAUUAUAAAUUUGUUAAUUUGUUAAUUAGUAAUUAUGAAAUUGAAUGAUUUUAAUGAUUUUAAUUAAAUUCUAUUAAUAAUGAUUAAUUUGCAUGAAAUUAUAAUUACUGUUUCUUAAUAUAUAAUAAUUAGUCAUAUUUGAAAAUAAAAAUAAAAAUUACUGUUUCUUAAUACUGUUUUUAAAUAGUUAAAUAAUUAAUGUUUUUCAUAUUUUAAAUUAAUCAAUUAUUUUAAAAUUAUUUCAUGAAUUAAAAUAAUUAUUUCAUAUUUUAAAUUAAAAAAAUUAAAUUUUUUUUUAAUCAACUUAUUUGUAAAUUAUUUAAAUAAUUGUAAUUAAAUAUGAAUUUAAUUAAUAAUUUACAUGAAUCUAUAUCUUAAUUAAUUAUUUGCAUGAAAUAAAUUUGUUUUCAAUAUUUUAUGUUUUUAAAUUAUUUAAAAAAUAAUUAAAAUAAUUAAAUAAUUUAUGAUUUUAAAUAAUUUAAAAUUUAUAUAAAAUAAUUAAUGUGUUUUUAUUUGUUAUAGGUUUUUUAAAAUCAAGAUUGAAGUAAGUUUUCGAUUGAAGAAAAGCUAAUUUGCGGUAAAAAUUAUAUAAUUUGAUUUAAUCAAUUUAUUUUCAAAUUAUUUAAUUUAGUGUUAAAAUAAAUGAUUAAAUUAUCUGAUUGACAAUUCUAUUAAUAAUUUAGUGUUAAAAUAAAUAAAUAAUUCUAUUAAUAUUUUUUUAUUAAUUGAUUGACAAUUAUUAAAUAUUAAUUUUUUAGUAAUGAAAUGUUAAUGAUUAAUUUGUAUAAAUUAAAAAUUUGUUAAUUAAUUAAUAAUUAUUAAAUUAAAAUGUUAAUGAAUAUAAUUUGCAUGAAAUUAUAGAAAUCAUAAUGAAUAAUUAUUCAAUUGAAUGAUUUUAAAUUGAAAUAAUAAUCAUUAAUUUGCCAUGAAAUGACUAAUUUAUUAUUUGUUUGUUUAAAAGUUAUUAUAUUAAUUAAUUUAAUAUUUUUUUAGAUUUUAAGAAAUGCCACUUAGAGUGAAGCAAUUACCUCGUAGGAGGGCUCUACCACCCCGUGAAGCAAUUACUUAGAGUGAAGCAUAUUGGAGAAGCUGCCAGUAUGGUGAGCACAACAAACGAAAGAUGGGCUUCUCUAAAUUGGAAAGGAAAAGAGCCGAUCUCAGAAAGCACGACUGUUGAUCCAACACCAGAUGCAGUUUGGUCGGAAAAAUUCAAAGCAUUGGAGGUAUUUACAAUAUAUUUCAAUAAUUUUGUUGAUUACCGAACUCAUUUUUGUUUUCAUUUUCAGAACAAGUGUAACGAGAGUCAAAAAGACGUCUCCAAAUACAAGAAGAAGUUCAAUGCUAUGAAAUCAUAUAUGAAGAAACUGAAUAAGACUUUGAAGACUUCUGGACUCGACAUGAUGCAGAUGGUUUCUACUUCAAAGUCCACAAUACCGUCUGCAUUCGGAUCAGAUAUUUCUGAUUCUGAUUCAGAAGACUCGCUUUCAGACGAGUGUUGAUUAAACUAUUUUUUUUUUCUUAUUAAAACUUCGAAUGUUUAACGAUUAUGUAAUUUAAUUUCUUUUUAAUAAAAAACAUCGAUUUCAAUUUCUAUUACGAAAUCGUUUUCUCAAAUAUCGAUUUUAUUUCAAAAAACGACGAUUCGAACGCACAAUAUAGAAUCCUGUUUUUAAAAAAAAUGUAACAAACAUUGUAUGGCGGAUUUCCGCCAUCUAAACUCUUCUACUAAGUUUUAGAUGGCGGAAAUCCGCCAUCUAAAGCUGGGCACAAUCGCCCUCUCCGACGAAUAGAUGGCGGAUAUCCGCCGUCUAUAAACUAAUGAAACCGACUGCGUAACUUUAGAUGGCGGAAAUCCGCCAUCUAAAAUUCCAAGGAUAGUCGGCGGACAUUCGCCGUCAAUGAAAUUAACCGCCAUCAAUGAAUUGGCGCCAAACUAUUCCCGCGCCAUAUUUUAGAUGGCGGAUUUCCGCCAUCUAAAACUUUUCAAUUCGCGCCAAAAUUUUCAGAUUAGAUGGCGGAAAUCCGCCAUCUAUACUAUUUUUGGUGGGAAAUGGGGAUGGAUAAUAGAUGGCGGUUUUUAGAUGGCGGUUUAUGGGUUUUAAUGGCGGUGUCCAAGAUGGCGGGCUUUAGAUGACGGAUUUCCGCCGAGGAUCACUUUAGAUGGCGGAAAUCCGCCAUACAAGGUCGGAUUUCUUGUAGUGUCAUCAGAUGAGGAUUCUGAAUUUUCUAAUGCUUUGUCAUCAAUUGCUAAAUCAUCUGUCAACUCUUAUUGCUCAAAAUCUGCCUCUAGUGGAUGCUCUGAGGGGCCAGGGGACUGUGGUACUGUAACUUUCUCAGCUGCAUUUUUCUUUCUUGCAUAUGUUUGAAGGACUGGAGGUGUAGGUUCUGAGGCUGUCCCUGACACAGAUGUUGGUGCAAUAUCCUCCUGUUCAGAUUCAUCCUCUGAGCUCUGUUUAGAUACUUCUGCCCUAUUUUUUUUAGACGGAAAAUUAUUCUCAACGAACACCACAUCCCUUGAUAUCAUUGUUCUUCCAUCCUUCAUAUUCAUGCAUAUAUACCCUUCACAAUUGACAGGGUAUCCUAGGAACAUACAUUGCACAGAUUUGUCUCCCAACUUAUUCUCUCUGUAGGGCCUCAUGUUUGGAUAGCAUAUUGAUCCAAACACCUUCAGCUUAAAAUAUUCAGGUGCUUUAUGAUGCAUUGCUUCAUAUGGGGAAAUUCCACCUAAAACUUUUGUGGGAUUUCUGUUGUAAAGAUGUAGUGUUGUCAUGAAUGCAUAGUCCCAAAAAUGUUCUUCUAAACCAGCAUGAUUAAGCAUAGCUAGUCCUGUAUCAACAAUGUGUCGAUGCCUUCUCUCCACCUUCCCCAUCUGAGGGUGCGUGUGUGGAUAGCUUAAGAGAUGAACAAUCCCAUUACUCCUAAGAUAGGUAGAUAGUUUCAGAAACUCUUUUGCAUUAUCACUUUGCACUGCCUUGAUUUUAUACUCAUACUGUCUUUCUAUCAGCUUCUGAAACUGCAUAAAACAGUCCUCAACCUCAGAUUUUCUUUUCAUUAAGAACAUCCAAUUAUAGCUAGUAGAUGCAUCUACAAAGUUAAUGUAGUAUCUAUAGCCUUCUGAAGAAUCAGUGGGUGCAGGCGCCCAUACAUCAGCAAACACAAGCUCUAGUGGAUGACUAUAAACAGUAGAUCUUAUGGAAUGCUUUAAUUUUUUAGAUUUCGUAAUGCAAUAAUUCUGACAUGAUUUAUGAAUUGUUUUUACAUCAGAUACUACUAUCAUUUUAUUUUGGCGGUACACGUAUGUUUCUUGUGCUCUCUUCAGGGGGGAGUACUGGCGAGACAUGCCUGAUUACGUCAGUCACUCCCUUCAACAAAGACUAGGGUUCCGUCGCUAUAUGCCGGACCCCGGAAGGCUUCCACGGUGCGGAGCACGUGUCUACGUCAAGAACUCAAGGCAACACCUGGGAGUCACCGACUGGGACUACCAAGUCGCCGACUCCAUCCAGGGAACUCGGGUCUGGUAGACCGAGGACCUGGCCUCAAAAGAGUCGGCGACUCCACCUCUGGGUCGGCGACUCCCAUACCUGAGUCGUCGACUCCCAGCCGUUACUUGGGCGGGCCCACACCAUUAUGGCGCCCUUCAAUAGGGUACCAUAAUGGGGUGGGCUCCACUCUAUUGAAUGGAAACGCCUCCAGGACCCUAUAAAAGGGGUCCUAGGGGUAUCCUCCAUUCAGAUAUUAUCUUGACAACCUACACUCCACACUAGAGCAUCCAAGGAGCCUGAAUCGCCUACUCCCAAGAGAGUCACCGAUUCCCCUCCUCUUCUGCAGGUGUUUGACGUAGAGUGCGCGUCGUGGACUCCAAAGCCUCCGGCCCUUCUCGCAACCCCGCGAGCCCUACUGGUAGCAGAUUCCGUGCUUCAUCAGCUGGCGCCGUCUGUGGGACUAUCGAACCACGAUAUCCCGUCGUAAUCGCGAAAUUUUCUUCGCAAAGUUCAGCUCGAUUCCCUUAGGGUGAGUCGCUAACUUUGUGUCAAGGAAUCUUCGAUUCACACAGGCAAUCACCGACUCCACCUAGUGAGUCUCCGAUUGCGGGUUAUUCUGCUAGCUAAGAGUGUUGUCCACGGCCAGACUCGAAAGAAAAGCUACCUAAAGCAGUCAUCGAUUCCACUAGUGUGUGUCACUGAUUCCACCUUGUGAAUCACCGACACCCCUUGCGAGUCGUCGACUCCACUUGGUUCUUUCUCUCGUGCCAGUUCUAGCAAGCACUUGCGCUCUAGUUGGAACACGCUUUUGUCAACAAUGGCUUCUGAAAGGCAAAAGCAUGACUACCAUCUGAGGAACAAAGGCAAAUCCUCAAUGGUAGUUGAUAGGGCACAGACUGACCCUCCUCAAGAAAACAGGCAAGAAAGGCCUGAGGAGGUUCAAGCCAGUCUGCCCCCUCAGACAUCCAUCCCUCCCGCUUUAGAGGAGAGGUUGGUUAACUUCAUGGAUAACAUGGAACAAAGAGUUAACAACCUCGAGAAAAAGCGAGGAGCCAGAGGACCAUCGCCCGAGAAGGAGAAGGUGAAUCGGCCUCUCAUAAUUAUCCAUCUGGGGAGAAAAAGAAGAAUGGUCCAGAACCUUCAAAGUCAAGGGCUGGACCUAGUAAGAGUCACACUGAAAAGACUCUUACAACACGGUUCAUGGAAGACCUUCGUCGGAAGUUGGCUAGCAAUCUAGCCGCCAGCAGUCCGAUCGAAUUCCUGAGAAUCAAAAGCGCUCCUUUUCGUGAGGACCUUUUGAAGGUAUCUUUUCCACCAACCUGGUGGGUACCCAGGAUAGAAGCGUAUGAUAGUUCGGGUGAUCCAUGAGAUCACAUCAACCUCUACCUUAGUAUCUUGGAACCGCAAACCACCGAUAACGCGCUGUUGUGUCGGGCAUUCCCCGACACUCUCAAGGGCAGCGCCUAUCGGUGGUUUUCCGGUCUGCCAGCUGGAUCAAUCUCCAUCUUUGCGGACCUCUCAUCCAAAUUCAUCGCCCAACAUGUGGGGAUGAUUAGAAUCAAACAUAGUGCCAACGCACUACUGGCACUACGACAGAACAAGCUGUCGUUAAGGGAUUACACUAUUAAGUUCACUUCAAUGAUGACAGAAGUGAGCGACUUAAUCCCGAGUCUGGCCAUAGCGGGAUACACGAAUGGGCUAGUACCCUACUCCCCUUUGGCCCAGCAUCUCACUCUCCAUAAGGUGGAGACUCUGUCUGACCUCUUCCAGCGAGCCCAAUCGUUUAUUGAGGUGGAAGAGCAGAAUGAGAACAAGCUAGUGGAACUUGAGAACACUAGCUUCAAAAAACCAAAGUUCGAGAAAAAGAGCUACGGCGGAAAAAAUAGUUUCCGAGGCUCAUCGAACAAAUACACUAACAAUGCGGCUAAUUCCUACAAAAAGGAAUGGAAGCCCAAACACGAUUGAUGAAGCACGAAAUCUGCUACCAGUAGGCUCGCGGGGUUGCGAGAAAGGCCGGAGGCUUUGGAGUCCACGACGCGCGCUCUACGUCAAUGUACCUGCAGAAGUGGAGGGGAAUCGGCGACUCUCUUGGGAGUAGGCGAAGGGUGCCAUAAUGAAGGGUGCCAUAAUGACGUGGGCCCUCCCAAGUAACGGCUGGGAAUCGGCGACUCAGGUAUGGGAGUCGUCGAUUCAGAGGUGGAGUCGCCGACUCCCCAUGAGCCAAGUCGGCGAUUCACCCCUGGAGUCGGCGACUUGGUAGUCCCAGUCGGCGAUUCCCAGGUAUUUCCUUGACUACUUGAUGUAGACACUUCCUCCGCAUUUGUGGAACUCUCCGGGGGUUCGGCAUAAAGCGACGGAACCCUAGUCCUUGUUGAAGGGCGUUACUGGAAGUGACUGACGUAAUCAGGCAUGUCUCACCAGUACUCCCCCCUGAAGAGAGCAUGGAAAAACACUCGUGUACCGCCAGUAUCCCCCCAAGCAAGGUGAUCCUCAUCAAGGCCAAAGCGACAAGAUGGGAUUGAGUCAUUGCGCUCACAGCGACACAAAUGACUCCGUGUGGUCCAUGCACUAUCAGAUGGACUGAUUCACUAUCAGAAUCUAGUUCCAGGCCAACGGAAUUACAUGUUUAUAGUCCUACUCUGAUCAAGAGCGACUUUUGCUGUGUGGAUUCUGGCCGAAGCGACAGAAUGCGUGGAUUCACUAUUAGAAUCUGAUUCUGGCCGAAGCAACAGAAUGCGUGGAUUCACUAUUAGAAUCGGGUUCUGGCCGAAGCGACAGAAUGCGUGGAUUCUGGCCGAAGCGACAGAAUCUAGUUCACUAUCAGAACUGAUGUUUAUAAUCCACCCUGAUCAAGAGCGACUUUACGUCCGCAACGACGGUUACCCCAUAGGCCAAAGCGCAAGAUGGGUCGAGAUCAUUAAGCCAAAGCGACAAAAUGAUCUCCAAGUGUUGAAGAAUUAUUGAAGCCAAAGCGACAACAUAAUUCUUGGUCCAUUAAGGCCAAAGCGACAAAAUGGACCUGGAUCUAUUAAGGCCAAAGCGACAAAAUGGACCUGGAUCUAUUAAGGCCAAAGCGACAAAAUAGAUCCGAUUCUGGCCGAAGCGACAGAAUCAUGCCUGCAAAACAAAAAACAACCUGCAAAACAACUAUAUCAGUGUAAAGGAUAUAUUUAUUGAUUUACUGACCUUGCCGUGUGGAGCUGCCUCUCAUGCUGCUCCUCCUUAUGCUCAAUAAAUCCUUGAUUGAUCUGGCCGAAGUGACAGAUCUAUCAUGCUCAAAAAAUGUGACAGCUUCUGGCCGAAGCAACAGAAGUGCCGAGAGAACUUGUGAUACUCCCCUUGGAUUUCGACGACUUCUGGCCGAAGCGACAGAAGUAUCGGGAAGAGCUUGUAAUACUCCCCCCUUGAGAUCAUUAAGGCCGAAGCGUCAAAAUGACCUCUGGUCUAUCAAGGCCGAAGCGACGAGAUAGACCGACUCACUAUUAGAGUCUGACUCACUAUCAGAGUCUGGUUCACUAUUAGAACCUUUCCUGCAAAAAAGAAAACAUCCUGCAAAACAACUAGAUCAGUCCAAAAACGCAUAUUUAACUUAUUGAACUUACCGUGUGAUUUUACCUUCCUUGAUGCCUCUUCUUUGCUCAAUAAAUCCUUGGUAAAUCUGGCCAAAGCGACAGAUUUUACCGUGCUCAAUUUUUGACGACUUCUGGCCGGAGCGACAGAAGUGUCGGGAGAGCUUGUGAUACUCCCCCCGAAAUUUGACGACUUCUGGCCGAAGCGACAGAAGUGUCGGGAGAGCUUGUGAUACUCCCCCUCGAAAUGUGACGACUUCUGGCCGAAGCGACAGAAGCGUCGGGAGUACUUGUGAUAUUCCCCAUUGAAAAUGUGACUACUUCUGGCCGAAGUGACAGAAGCGUCAGGAGUACUUGUGAUAUUCCCCAUUGAAAAUGUGACUACUUCUGGCCGAAGCGACAGAAGCGUCGGUAGUACUUGUGAUACUCUUCAUUGAAAAUGUGACUACUUCUGGCCAAAGCGACAGAAGCGUCGGGAGUACUUGUGAUACUCUCCAUUGAAAAUGUGACGACUUCCAUCCCAAUUGACAGAAGUGUCGAGAGAGUUUGUGAUACUCCCCCUUGAAAUGUGAUGACUUCUAUCCCAAUUGACAGAAGUGUCGGGAGAGUUUGUGACACCUCUCCUCGAAAUGUGACGACUUCUAUCCAAAUUGACAGAAGUGUCGGGAGAGUUUGUGAUACUCUCCAUUGAAAAUGUGACGACUUCUGGCCGAAGCGACAGAAGUAUCGGGAGAAAGAGUUUGUGAUACUUCCCCUUGAAGCGAUUGUUAAUGGGCUAUCUUUUGUUUUAUUGCUAAUCUUUCAUAUAAAUUACCCUUUAAAUUGUAACUAAGGCCCGAAACUAGAUUCACAAGUCGUAAUUUAGCCACUCUGGACGUAAAUUAGACUCUGCUAACCCUAUUGCUAGCCACUCUGGGCGUAGACUUGGUCGUACGAAUCGUAGCUCAGCCUACGGUUAAAUUUACGGAUAAUUUAUACCUCCAGAUUAAUGUAGAGUUGUAAAAGAUAGCGCGAAUGAAAAAUCCGAAGGAUGCAAAUUUUUCAAACUCGAGGGUUACGUUUGUAAUUGUAAUUUACAAUUACAACUGACGUUUGAACCCUGAUGUUGGAGAGAGCUUGUGAUACUCUCUCUUGAAACGUGACGACUUCUGGCCGAAGCGACAGAAGUGUCAGAGAGAGCUUGUGAUACUCCCUCCUGGAAAUGUGAUGUUGUUUUACCCUGAGUCGGUGACUGGGUGUCCGAAUCGUCGACUCCUUAAGUUUUGGGUAACUGUGAGAAUUUUGAUGACUUCUGGCCGAAGCGACAGAAGUGUCGGGAGAGCUCGUGGUAUUCCCCCUCUUGUGAUGUUUUGAUAUUUUUGUAAUUUUUUGGAACUCAAUCAAUUAUUUUGCUUUCUUAAUUAAUUGUUUAUUUAAUUUAUUUUUUGAAUUGUAACUAAAACCCAAAACUAGAUUCACAAGUCGUAACUUAGCCACUCUAGACGUAAAUUAGACUCUACUAACCCUAUUGCUAGCCACUCUGGGCGUAGACUUGGUCGUACGAAUCGUAGCUCGGUCUACGGCUAAACUCGUGAAAUAAAUUAAACUUUACAACUAACUUAAGACUCGCAAAGCUAAUUGACGUAAUAAGUUGGAGAUACAAAAAUUAUCGGGAAUAAGACUUAGAACUUUUUUGAGAACCUAAGAUUCUAGAUUUCAUUCCCUAAUGUGUAGUUGAGCUCUGGCCGAAGCGACAGAGUAACUUUUGGACCCGCCUCAAGGCCAAAGCGACAAGAUGGGGUAGGAUCGUUAAGGCCAUAGCGACAAAACGAUUUAAAUCUAUUAAGGCCAUAUUGACAAAAUAGACUUUUGUAUUGUGGGUACAUAGAACCUCUUGGGGUUAGGUUCAUUUGUACUUAUCAACUACCUAAGACUCUACACUUAUACCCUAAUGUAGUUGAACUCUGGCCGAAGCGACAGAGUAACUUUUGGAUCUGCAUCAAGGCCAAAGCGACAAGAUGGGAUGAGAUCAUUAAGGCCAAAGCGACAAAAUGAUCUCCAAGUCUAUCAAGGCCAAAGCGACAAGAUAGAAGAAUUAUUGAGGCCAAAGCGACAAAAUAAUUCUUGGUCCAUUAAGGCCAAAGCGACAAAAUGGACCUUGAUCUAUUAAGGCCAAAGCAACAAAAUAGAUUUCUAAUAUAGGGUACUAGUUAGAGUCGUAGGUAGUGAUUUCGAAAGAGUGUCACAAAAAUAAAAUCUAACUAUUUUAUUUUGUAACUUGUACUAGCAUAGAGACUAAGAGACUACAAUUUAGGACUACAAUUCUAGACUUGAACCCUGGCGUAUUAGUCAAGCUCCGGCCAUAGAGACAGAGUGACUCUCGAUCCUUAUCAAGGCCAUAACGACAAGAUGGGAUAGGAUCAUUAAAGCCAAAGCGACAAAAUAAUCCUUGGUCUAUUAAGGUCAUAGCGACAAAAUAGAUUGAAAACGAGGGUAUCGUUGAUUGUAGUCGAAAAUUUAGAAUCUCGGGGUUAGAUUCGUAAAUGAGAGUCUGAUUUAGAUUCUUAAGUCGCACUUUGGACUCAUAAAUCGUAAACUAGACUUGUGAUCGCCAUUUAGCCACUCUGGAAGUAAAUUGGAUUUUUUAACCAUCGCUUAGACUCGCGGGUCGUAAGCUAAGUCUGAGCAACGGGUAUCAUCCAGCUAAAGCGAUGGAUGAUUAUUCUAAAUACGAUACUGCAUAUAUCUCUACGGAUUAAAAAGAGAUUUAUUUAGAAUAAUAUCGCUAUUGAGAAUACAUGAGAAUAGUAUGAGCGACAAACAAAAGAAUUAACGUGUUUUUUGGUCGCUGGUUGCCACUGACAGAAGCAUAGCCUGCAUGGUUACUCUGGCCAAUCCUAUCUCUUAACAGGUGAUAGUUCCUCACUACUAGCGUGAUGUACUUGAUUGCGAGUGUGAACUGUGGCUCUGGUUGCCAUCACUGUCAUAGGAUUGAGAGCGUGGGCUAUGGUCAUAACUGUUACUGGGCCGAGAGUGUGAGCUAUGGCUUUCUUGGCCAGACUGAGAGUAUGAGUUAUGACUUUGGUGGUCACAACUGCUGAUGAGAAGCUCCUCUCUGUAUCGAGGAGGACUAGUCGAGGUUUCAGACUGGGAACUUGUAUCCUCAUAUGUAUCUUCUUUAGCUUAGCGAGGUUUUUUCCGGCUGGGCGGCUCGACUCCGUCCAGCUUAUUAUUGUUCUCCUCUUCUAUCUCAAUGAACGAUUGAGCUCGUUGGAAGAGGUCGGGGAGGGUCUCCACUUUAUGGAGCGUAAGGUUCUGGGCCAAAGGGGAGUAGGGUAUUAGCCCAUUCAUGUACCCCGCUAUGGCCAGACUCGGGAUUAAGUCGUUCACUUCUGUCAUCAUCGAAGUGAACUUAAUCGUGCAAUCCCUUGAUGAAGCACGAAAUCUGCUACCAGUAGGCUCGCGGGGUCGCGAGGAGGGCCGGAGGCUUUGGAGUCCACGACGCAUGCUCUACGUCAAUGUACCUGCAGAAGGGGAGGGGAAUCGGCGACUCUCUUGGGAGUAGGCGAUUCGGGCUCCCUGGAUUGCUCUAGUGUGGUGUGUCAAGUAGGAAUGACCUGCAAGUAGAGGUCCUCUAAGGACCCCUUUUAUAGGGUCCUGGGGGACGUUUCCCCAUUCAUUAGCGUGGGGCCCACCCCAUUAAGGUGUCCUAUUGAAGGGUGCCUUAAUGACGUGGGCCCACCCAAGUAACGGCUGGGAGUUGGCGACUCAGGUAUGGGAGUCGCCGAUUCAGAGGUUCUGUCGUCGACUCCCCAUGAGCCAAGUUGGCAGUCUACCAGAACUGACCACGAGGCCUAGAGUCGGCGAUUCACCCCUGGAGUCGGCGAUUCACCCCUGGAGUCGGCGACUUGGUAGUCCCAGUCGGCGACUCCCAGGUGUUGCCCUGAGUACUUGACGUAGACACUUCCUCCGAAUUCGUGGAACUCUCCGGGGGUCCAGCAUAAAGCGACGGAACCCUAGUCCUUGUCGAAGGGCGUUGCUGGGAGUGACUGACGUAAUCAGGCAUGUCUCACCAGUACUCCCCCUGAAGAGAGCAUUGCAAAACACCCGUGUACCGCUAGUAUCCCCCCCCAAGCAAGGUGAUCCGCACCAAGGCAAAAAGGGACAAGAUGGGAUUGAGUCAUUGCGCUCACAGCGACACUAAUGACUCCGCGUGGUCCAUGCACUAUCAGAUGGACUGAUUCACUAUCAGAAUCUAGUUCCAGGCCAAUGGAACUACAUGUUUAUAGUCCUACUCUUAUCAAGAGCGACUUUUGCUGUGUGGAUUCUGGCCGAAGCGACAAAAUGCGUGGAUUCACUAUUAGAAUCUGAUUCUGGCCGAAGCAACAGAAUGCGUGGAUUCAUUAUCCGAAUCGGGUUCUGGCCGAAGCGACAGAUCGCGUGGAUUCACUAUUAGAAUCUGAUUAUGACCGAAGCGAUAGAAUCUAGUUCACUAUUAGAACUGAUGUUUAUAGUCUACCCUGAUCAAGAGCGACUUGGUGUCCGCAACGACGGUUACCCCAUAGGCCGAAGCGCAAGAUGAGUCGAAAUCAUUAAGGUCAAAGCGACAAAAUGAUCUCCAAAUGUUCGAAAAACUAUUGAAGCCAAAGCAGCAACAUAAUUCUUAGUCUGAUUCUGGCCGAAGCGACAGAAUCAUGCCUGCAAAACAAAAAACAACCUGCAAAACAGCUAUAUCAGUCUAAAGGAUAUAUUUAUUGAUUUACUGACCUUGCUGUGUGGAGCUGCCUCUCAUGCUACUCCUCCUUUUGCUCAAUAAAUCCUUGAUUGAUCUGUCCGAAGUGACAGACCUAUCAUGCUCAAAAAUGUGACAGCUUCUGGCCGAAGUAACAGAAGUGCCGGGAGAACUUGUGAUACUCCCCUUGGAUUUCGACGACUUCUGGCCGAAACGGCAGAAGUGCCGGGAAGAGCUUGUGAUACUCCCCCCUCGAGAUCAUUGAGACCGAAACGUCAAAAUGACCUAUGGUCUAUUGAGGCCGAAGCGACGAGACAGACCGACUCACUAUUAGAGUCUGACUCACUAUCAGAGUCUGACUCACUAUUAGAACCUGGUUCACUAUUAGAACCUUUCCUGCAAAAAAGAAAACAUACUGCAAAACAACUAGAUCAGUCCAAAAACUCAUAUUUAACUUACCGUGUGAUUUUACCUUCCCUGAUGCCUCUCCUUUGCUCAAAUUGAUCCUUGGUAAAUCUGACCGAAACGACAGAUCUUACCGUGGUCAACUUUUGACGACUUUUGGCCGGAGCGACAGAAGUGUCGGGAGAGCUUGUGAUACUCCCCCCGUAAUGUGACGACUUCUAUCCAGAUUGACAGAAGUGUCGGGAGAACUUGUGAUACUCCCCCCGUAAUGUGACGACUUCUAUCCAGAUUGACAGAAGUGUCGGGAGAACUUGUGAUACUCCCCCCGUAAUGUGACGACUUCUAUCCAGAUUAACGGAAGUGUCGGGAGAGCUUGUGAUACUCCCCCCGAAAUUUGACGACUUCUAUCCAAAUAGACUGAAGUGUCGGGAGAGCUUGUGAUACUCCCCCUCGAAAUGUGACGACUUCUAUCCAAAUUGACGGAAGUGUCGGGAGAGCUUGUGAUACUCCCCCCGAAAUGUGACGACUUCUAUCCAAAUUGACGGAAGUGUCGGGAGAGCUUGUGAUACUCCCCCCGAAAUUUAACGACUUCUAUCCAAAUAGACAGAAGCAUCGGGAGAGUUUGUGAUACUACCCAUCGAAAUGUGACGACUUCUAUCCAAAUAGACAGAAGUGUCGGGAGAGCUUGUCAUGCUCCCCCUCGAAGAUUGUGCCCUUGCGGCACACAAACUUUUGGGAUGAGUCUUUUUCGAAGUACGUGACUGUCGGUGAGCUAUCUAUUGUUUUUCUUUUGCUAAUCUUUCAUAUAAAUUACCCUUUAAAUUGUAACUAAGGCCCGAAACUAGAUUCACAAGUCGUAAUUUAGCCGCUCUGGACGUAAAUUAGACUCUGCUAACCCUAUCGCUAGCCACUCUGGGCGUAGACUUGGUCGUACGAAUCGUAGCUCAGCCUAUGGUUAAAUUUACGGAUAAUUUAUACCUCCAGAUUAACGUAGAUUUACUAGAGAUAGAGCAGACGACGAAUCAGAAAUAUUCGACACUCAACGGUUGCCUUGUAAUUUAGAACCCUAAUGAUGGAGAGAGCUUGUGAUACUCCCUCCUGAAGUGUGACGACUUUUGGCCGAAGCAACAGAAGUGUUGGGAGAGUUUGUGAUACUCCCCCCUUGAAUUUUGACGACUUCUGGCCGAAGCGACAGAAGUGUCGGGACAGCUUGUGAUGCUCCCCCUUGAAAACAUGCACUUGGGGCAGUUUUUAUUGUUAUCUUACCCGGAGUCGGCGACUGGAGGCCACCAGUCGGAGACACCUAUGGUCUGGGUAACUGCAGGGGGCCUUUUUGUUUUUUACCCCUGUGAGUCGGCGACUCCUAGCGUAACCGUCGGAUCUUUUUGGAAGAUCCUUGGGAUAUCUGGAGGAUAUACGGGGAAUAUUUGUAAAAUCUCCAAAUAAGGAAAUGUAUCUCACAGUGCUGUGAGAUUUUGUUUGGAGUCGGCGACAGUGGCGUGAUUUGGGGGAUUUGAAGAUCGAUUCCCGAUCUCAAAUUUUGCAAAUUUCGGAUUUUCUAGGGGGUUUUUGCAAUUUUCCCAAGGGCUAUAAAUAGUGAAGAGUUUUUCCCCAAAACCUCACAAUACUUUUUGCCUCCCUAAUCGCUUAAAACCCUAGAUUUUUAAGUCGCCGAUUCCCAAGUGAUCUUCCUCUGAAUCGACGAUUCCAAACAUGUCUUCCCCCGAUUCCCACUUGUCUCCCUUGAAGGAAGCUGAAACGUCCGCUUUCAUUGCGGAGAUGACCGCUGAGGGUCUCGAUGAGGUGUUGAACACCGUCGAGUCGCCGAUUCCCUCUCCUGACAGAGUGGUUGAGUCGGCGACUCCGGUCGUUCCACCUCCUAAUAUGGAUAUGAGUGCCUCUAUGCACGAACUGCUUGGCGCUUCGCCAGUGUCGGCGACUCCCCUUGUGGAGUCGCGACACAGUGCAAGGCCCUUGUAGUCGUGCGAGAGCCUCUCGAGCUGGGGGAGAUUCCCGAACCUUCUGUGUCGGCGAUUCCCAUCAUGGAGUCGGCGACACAUGCUGGGCCCAUCAAGGGAAAAUCCUUCAAGCGGAGAGGGCAAGGCUCAGCUGCCAUUGGGUCGGCGACUGCUGGUCGUGACUCACCGAUUCCUCUCAUUGAAUCGGCGACUCGAGUGCUAGAGUCAGCGACUCCCAUGCAGAUAGAUGACUCUUCUGCGCGUCACACCGCUCCGUUGGUUGUGAACGCGGAAGGUCGCAUUGUGUCGGGACUGAACCUGCGCCAAGGGCCAUCUGUGGAUGGUCCUUCUCUGAAAAGAAAAAAAAGACGCACCACUGGUAAGGGCAAAGUUCAUGUGCCCGAACAAGACGAGAGGGUCCCACCGCCCCUUAACAUAAACUUUGACGAGGCAUUAUUUGUGGACCGUGGUGCUUCCAAUCCACGCUGUAGAGCGAGCCGGCGCUCUGAAAGAACUCCGCCACCUCCCGUGGACUUGGAUUCCAGUCGAGAUCCGGACCUCGACUUGAACACAUACAUUGGAGCUUUGAACCCAUCUGGGUUCGCUCACUGUAAAGUUGCCGUGAACGGCGAACUAAGGUUGCUCCCUAUAGGCCGCUCCGGGGACGGCGAAUUCGAGCAAGUGAUGACCCAUGCCACCUUGGAUGGCUCUGACGGACUGAACCCCCCCUCUAACCUUAACGCGAGCGACGCUCGAGGCUUGUUAUCGGGGGUUCAAAUCUCUGGGCAUUUGCGAUUCUGGAUAUCGCGUUACCAGCCUGCAAAUCUCCCACCACCGGGAUUCCAGGCUAUCCCACGGAUCUACUUCAAGCACUUCUCUGAAUUACCGAUUCCGGAGAUAAUUAGUGAAGUGCUACUUACUUUUGAAGUGUCCCUGUCGCAGCUCCCGGCAGGAUUCUUCGUGAUUCUACGGGGAUUUUUGAAUAUCUGUUGGGGCCUGAGGAUUACUGCGACUGCCAGCUUGUUCCUUCAUUACUACAAGCUGACGAAAGAAAAAUUGGGAUCUGGUCGCGUCGGAUUUACGCGACGCCACUUUGAUAAGAAUAUCGUCGAUGAACUGCCGACGAACUUUGGAUGCAACUGGAAGAAGGAAUUCUUCUUCAUUACUUCUGAGUUUCUUCCCGGGAGUCGGGAAACGUGGAAUGAUCCCCAACGAGUGCAUAUGAAUGCUUCAAUUGGGUUGACUAUGAGGGAUAUCAAAGCCUCUGAUCGGAUAGCGCGGGCCCUGACUGACUAUUCCGUGCCGCGCGGUGUUCCCUUUGUCUUUUGCCAAAGGGAAGACUUCACUUUUGAGGACGUGGAAGAAGCUCAGCAACCACCAAUAGAGAGGGAGCUGGAGGGCGGAAAAAAGCGAUCGCUUUUAUACUUUGACGCCACUCCUCUCUACAUGUGCAAGCGGUUCCGAGAGGGCAAGCUCAUUCGAUUAAGGAAGAAGAGCAAGCGUGUUGAACCUCGUCGGACCUUCGAGAAGGGAUCAAGUUCUCGCUCUGCACAGCCACCCCCUACUGGUUACGUGCCCUAUACUUCUGGUGUGUCGCUUCCUGAUUUCAAUGCUGAUCCUGAAACUAGGAGGGAAGCGAUGUCACUCCUGAUGGGCCAGUCUGGGAAGUGGUGUCGGAGCGAGUUACUCAAACAUAUGACUGCCGCUUGCUACAAGGCACAUGCGUGCUAUCAUGCCGACUCCAUUCACGAUGUCGAAAAGAUUCAAGAAAGAUAUAAUCAGCUUGACACAAAGUUCAAGGAGAGCGAGAAAGCCAUGGGCAAGCUGAAGAAAGUGAAGUCCCGGAUGGAGAACCUGCGCGACAAUAAUCUGCCGAAGAAGGACAAGACGAUCGAGUCCAAGCAGAAAGAGAUAGAAGAAUAUGUCGCGAAGAUAUUGGGACUUCGCAAGGACCUGAAAACCAUCACUGCUGACCGUACUAAAGAGGUUGAAGGUUUGAAAAGUUAGCUAGCUGGUGAGAUUGGGCACAUAGUCUCACUUGAGGCUACCAUAGCAGAUUUGAGAAAGCAAGUCGCCUAAUACCAAGGAGAGAACACUGAGCUGAAGGGUGAGCUAGCUAGCGCGGAAGAGGAGAUCUUGGCGCUUAAGAAGGACAAAUCUGCACUCUCCGGGAAAUCUGAAGGAUUGGAGUUGGACGUGCGAUACCAAUCCGACCAACUUCAAGAGCUAAUCUUCUUUGGUCCUUCCGUGUUUCCCGCUCUUCCCCCUGACUACAUUACGGAUAUAAUGGCAUGGGUAGAGCAGCAUCCUGAGGAACUUGAGAAGAACAAGGAUGCUCUGGACAAGAUGAAGGACGAAACCGCUCAAGAAUAGCAACUUAUUAGUCCUUAGAUUUUUUUUGUAAUCUUGUUAUCAUUUUUGUAAUCUUUUUGAACUUAAUGAAUCGUUUUUGCUUUUUCUUUAUUAAUUGUUUAUUUACUUUACUCUUUUGAAUUGUAACUAAGACCCGAAACUAGAUUCGCGAGUCGUAAUUUAACCACUCUGGACGUAAAUUAGACUAACCCUAUCGCUAGCCACUCUGGGCGUAGACUUGGUCGUACAAAUCGUAGCUCAGUCUACGGUUAAACUCGCGAAAAAAAAUUAAACUUAACAACUAAUAAAAACUCGCAAUAUCGAUUAAACUAAUAAGUUGAAAACAAAAAAUAUUGGAGAAGAUAGCAAGAAAUAUCGUAAUGUUGGUAUAAACCUUAAGACUCUAGAAUUGUACUCUAGAUUCCUUACUAUGUAGUUCAACUCCGGCCGAAGCGACGGAGCAACUUUUGACCCAUAUCAAGGUCGUAACGAUGAGAUGGGGUGAAAUCGUUAAGGCUAUAGUGACAACACUAUUACUAACCUAUUGAGGCCGUAGCGAUAUAAUAGAUUUUGGUAUGUGUGGUGGGUACUUAGAACCUCUUGUGGUUGGGUUCACUUGUACCUAUCAACUACCUAGGACUCUGCUUUUAGACCCUAAUGCGUGGUUGAACUCUGGCCGUGGCGACAGAGCAACUUUUUGGACCCAUAUCUAGGCUGAAGUGACCAGAUUGGGUUGAAUCGUAAUGUAUUAAAAACGAUUUUAAUCUAUUAAGGCAAUAGCGACAAAAUAAAUUCAUAGUGUGGGGUGCUAGCUAGAGUCGUAGGUAGAUGAUAAAUCUAAAUUUUAUUAAGAAUGUAAAUUACAACAGUAAAAUUUGCAAUUUUAAACUAACAUAUAGACUAAGAGGUUCUAACGUGCUCAAUACUAAGCACGAUGUUGUUGUACGUUGUCCGUGUGCCAGAUGCAAGGACUUUUGGGUGACAGCUUAUUUCUAUUCCUCUUAGUUAUGCUAGCCUUCCUGUGGGUCUACCACCAAAUAGCAUAUGGAUGGUUUUCCGUGGGUGGUCCUCGCUAUUGUCGCUGUCUGGUGAAGGAGAGCGUGGGCGCUUCCCUUUUGUGUCAGACUUGCAAUCGUUUCGACCUCGGGAUCCUUUGACCAGGUUGUCAAGUUCGCCGUUCGAAAUUAAUUGCUCGACAUAAAGCGAGAAUUCCCUGCAAUAGUCCGUCAGAUGGCCGUGGUCCUUGUGGAAUUUACAGAAUCUUCCACUUUUGUGACGGCGAUCCUUGGUUGCAGGGCCCAUAGAGCGAGGAGCGGGCGCCCCCCUCGCUUUCUGAUGGCGCUUGUUGAACUCUUGCGUUCUCGCCACCAGGUAUUCCUCUACGUUAGACUCUCCGUGGGACCUCUCCAUGGCCUCCGCAAACGUCUUCAGCGGCUUCCGGACGAGGUCUCCUGCGAAAAACGUGGGUCUCAGGCAGUUGGUGAUGGCGUACAGGAUCACCUUUUCCGUUAGCCCCUCGAUUUCCUGCACCACCCCUGCGAACCGGUCCAUGUACGCUCGCGUGGUCUCGAAGUCCCUCUGCACUACCGCGCUGAGGGUGGCCUCGGUUUUUGGUCUCCUUCGCUUGUGGGCGAAAGCCGUCAAAAAGAUUCUCUCUAGGUCCUCAAAGGUAUGGACCGAGGCCGUAGGGGGCGUUCUGUACCAUGCCACGGCAUCACCGGCAAACGCUCUUCGGAACAUCCUGCACCAAAUAUCCUUCCUAUCGGUUCUAUCCUCCAUGUUCGUUUUGAAGGAGCGCAGAUGAUCGCUCGGGUCCGUAUCUCCCUUGUACGCGGGGAUCUUCGGAGUCGUCCAGCCAGCGGGGUACUCGCCCUCCAGCAGGUGUUUCGCUAGUGCUUCCCGGCUCACAGCUGCGGGUGUCAUGACUAUCGCCCCGCUCGCGGGAUCCCCACCUACGGCGCCGCCUCCAGCACCGUCCGACUCAAGCGCUCGGCGCUCGGCGGUCAGUUGGAGCAGCUAUUCCUGCAGUUGCCGUUGGCUGUUCUGCAGGGCGGAGACCAUUUCCGAUAACUUCACCUUAUCUGAACGCCUCCUCCGAUGACGCUCCCCCCUCUCUGUGGGAGUCCGGGAACGGUCCCGUCUCCCCCGCCUGUGCUUUCUCCCCUCCUUACGCUUGUCCUCCUCCUCAGCCUUCCUCGAGCGCCGGGACGUCUCCUCGGCCUCGGCCUUCUCCUUGCGCCGGGCCUUAUCUGCCUCCUCCAUUCUCACUCGCCACGCUGCCUCCUGGACCUCGAGUGCCCAGGCCAUGUUCCACUUUCUGUAUGAAAAGUAGGGCUCGGAUCUGUCUGGGUCUUCCCAUUCCUUUCGCCAUUGCUCAUUUCUCGUGGUGGUCGGGCUCAACUUCCUAACGCGAGCUUCCCUCUGCCCGACCUGCCCCGAGCCUUCCCCCCUGUGGAAACCGCUUCUUCCGACCAUCCUUCCUCCGGUUUUGUAUUUGCUUCACGUCCGGUUCACCACUGAUGGUGUGUGGGCACGCGCUAGGGUGCUCACACACACAACUCUAUAGUAUUACUGUUCCAGGUAACCGAUCCCCUCCCCUGUUGCACUAUGGGAAAUAUUUAUAACUCCUGCCCUAGGGCCUGACGGGCCUAACAGGCCUGUCUGGUUCAGGGUCCGACUUGAGGGGCCCUGGUACCAACAAAUAUAGAUUAUAUUUUUGGUCUUCUUUUUUCUGGUGCCAAAAUUCAGGUGGGUAGAAGUGAUGCUAUCAGCUAUUCUACUCCUUUUUGGCUCAAAUACUUCAACGUCAAACAUGUUACUAGGUAAUUUUAAUCAAUAUUCUAUUUUUUUAUUCUUAUUUCUUAAAAUUGUAUUUACAUUUACAUUUUCAAUGUCAACCAAAUAAUAGUAACACAAAUCACGCACUGCAACACAAAUCGCACGCAGGAAGGAAAGGGGAAAAAAAUCAAAAAAACCGUAUGAACCAAAUCGCGCACGCAGGAGGGAAUUCCACCGGCUGCUUCUACGAAACUCGACGAUCAGAAAUAACGGAAUCAAAAGAUCAGAAGAAGAAUCGCAAAUCAAAUCGGAAAAUCGCAACAACAAAAAAUCGCAAUAAGAAGAUUAGAAAAUCAGAACAAGAAUCGCAAUCCAGAUAACUCGGCGAUCAGAAUAUCGCAAGAAUCGCAAAAUCGGCAAGAAUCCGAUCGCAAAAUCCAAUCGCAAUCAAGAUACUCGCAGAUCAGAAUCAAAUAAUAAAAAAAAUCGCGAUCUAAGACUGCAAUCUCAUAGAAUCAAAUCAAGAUCUAAAAUUAAAAUGAAAUCUCAGAGAAUCUGAAAUCAAGAUCUAAAAUCAAACCUUAGACAAAUCAACGCGAAAGACACAAGCGCAGAUCGUCGCAACUUCCAAAUCCGAAGGCACGAACGCGGGAGAAUCGCAGAGGCGCUCGCGGGAGGGAUCGCAGUGACUUCGGGAGGGGGGAAAAAAUUAGUGAAGCAAUUGCUACCAUCAUAAAAAAGCUUAACACUAAUUGUAUUGAAUCAAAGAUUAAUUAAAAUACAAAAUGUCAAAUAUUCUUUUAUAAGAUUAAGUGUUAACUAACUAUCCUAUUACCACACUAAUUAAUGAUAUAGCUUCUAAUAAUAUUCUCUACGGUGCUUUAGUGAAAGAAACAUUUAAAUCUAUGGUUUUAUGUCGAAAUUUUGAAAAAGAAAAUAUCAAUGAUAUUUGUCGUCUUUGGUUUUGUCUUUUAUGCUCAUGUGUUUUUAACUCCUACAUCAAAAAUUAUGAUUCCACUAAAGUUAUUUCACUAUCUCGAAAAACUCGAGGAUAUAUCUAGUUUGAAUUGGUCAGAGUUGAUCUUUGAACAACUAUUUAAAAAUAUGAAGUCUGCAUGCUAUAUUAUAUUCGUCGACGUGCUAUUCUUUUAAAAUCUAAAUUUUAAUAUUAUUAUCAUUUCUCUAUAUAUUAUCUUCCAUUUUCAUUUUCCCUCUCCUCGCCGUCGUCGAAUCCAUCUUCACCUUUGAGUUUUCACCAAAAAAUUAUUUAAUGUUUUAUCUUAUUUAAUAUUUUAAGAAUUAUUUGAUCAAAUUAUUUAAAUAACAUGAUUUUUAUGCAAAAUUUUUAAAAAAUAUCAAACCAAACCCGACUUCCAAAUCGGAUUCGUGUUCUAUAAUUUUAAAUGUUCCCGAGUUUUGACCCGAACCUAAUUUCAAAAUUCAGAUUCGAAAGCAAAUAUGAGCCAAACCCGACCCAUGUCCAUUCCUACCGUUAGUUUCAUCGAUCUCAAUCCAAAUUCAGCUAGCCAGUCUCAAUCAAUUGUUCCACCUAGUUGGGUUUUACAUGCAAAAUAUCUUGCCAACAAGGCCGUAAGUAAAAUUUUUGGAAGAUGUGGCAUUUUUCUACAAAUAAAAUCAGCUAACGUAAUUUAACACUUUUAAAUUUAGUCCCACAUCGGAGAUUUAUUAUUGUGAUGGAAAUAGGAAGUAUUAUAUAUAAAUGAUAAAAUCAUUUUGAAGAACUCAUACCUUUCUCGGCCUUUUGGCUAAGAUCAAGUGUAGUAUCUGUUCUUAUCAGUUUAAUAUCUGAUAUGUGGAUCAUCGAUUCACACGAUAUUAAAUUUAUUUUUUUUGGGUGAAGAUCUGUUACAAUGGCUUGCUGUUGAGAUUUUCUGUUGUCGUCAUAGUUUUGCACUAUUGCUUUGACUGGCAAAACCCUCCUAAUUUUAAAAUUAAUUUUUAGUUUUUUUAUUCGAGAAUGUCAAAUAGCAGUUAGAUGGGUUUUAGAAAUUGGAAUGAUGGGUUUUAGACUUUGAAAAUAAGAGAUCUUAAAAUGUUUUUUUUUAUUAAAAAUGAAUAAAAAUCAAGAUCAAAUAUUCAACAUCAACGGAAUAUAAAAAAGAAAUUAAUGAAGAAACAUUGAAAUCUUUUAGGUAAGAUACAUUUCCAAAUAUAUGGCUCUUGUCCUUUGUCUGCAAAUAAUGAACAACCCUUUCUGGUUGGCUAAAUUUUAGACUUUGAAAAUAAGAGAUCUUAAAAUGUUUUUUUUUAUUAAAAAUGAAUAAAUAAAAAUCAAGAUCAAAUAUUCAACAUCAACGGAAUAUAAAAAAGAAAUUAAUGAAGAAACAUUGAAAUCUUUUAGGUAAGAUACAUUUCCAAAUAUAUGGCUCUUGUCCUUUGUCUGCAAAUAAUGAACAACCCUUUCUGGUUGGCUAAAUUUUAGACUUUGAAAAUAAGAGAUCUUAAAAUGUUUUUUUUUAUUAAAAAUGAAUAAAAAUCAAGAUCAAAUAUUCAACAUCAACGGAAUAUAAAAAAGAAAUUAAUGAAGAAACAUUGAAAUCUUUUAGGUAAGAUACAUUUCCAAAUAUAUGGCUCUUGUCCUUUGUCUGCAAAUAAUGAACAACCCUUUCUGGUUGGCUAAAUUUUAGACUUUGAAAAUAAGAGAUCUUAAAAAUCACAUAGAGACGCCCAUCCAGUGAUUCUUUUCUUUACAUGGAUGAUGCGUCAAAUGCUUUCAAAGAAUAAACAUACCAAAGCUUUUUAAUGUCUCAACCUUAUUGCCAUUGCAAGGAAUUCACAUCUUGUGAAGAAGAUACAACUGAUCAUCAUAUAAAUGCAAGAAACUUUAACGGGGCACAAAUUUGCAGAAUUGAAACUCCAAUGAACAUAAAAAUGCAUCAAAGUCAUUCAUCAUCGUACUGUAAUAAAUUCUUAACUUUAGCGGGGGGGCACAAAGUUGUAGAAUUGAAGCUCCAAUGAACAUAGGAAUGCAUCAAAGUCAUUCAUCACCGUACUGUAAUGAAUUCAUAACUUUAGCGAAGGGGGCACAAAGUUGUAGAAUUGAAGCUCCAAUAAACAUAUGAAUGCAUCAAAGUCAUUCAUCACCGUACUAUAAUAAAUUUGUAACCUGCAUAGAAGAUGCACCUGAUGAUUAUCAUUAUAUGAAUACAAAAAACUUCAGGGGAGAGAGGCAAAUUUGUGGAAUUGAAGUUUCAAUGAACAUAGGAAGGAAUGCAUCAAAAUCACCCAUCAUCAGAUGAAAUUAAAGCUUCCCCUCAUUGAAGAGUAUCAAAUUUGCCGACCCAUCACUAAAUACUCACUCCUUCAAUGGUAUUUUUUUA
This 28307-nucleotide long non-coding RNA is filed under the name Zostera marina. RNAcentral describes it as "long non-coding RNA (ZMAR_LNC004859)". The stretch from base 26712 to 26906 matches the Rfam family "U2 spliceosomal RNA". Lineage: Eukaryota; Viridiplantae; Streptophyta; Magnoliopsida; Alismatales; Zosteraceae. The record is from RNAcentral.